This 1827-nucleotide ribosomal RNA is filed under the name Triticum aestivum (bread wheat). RNAcentral's name for it is "partial small subunit ribosomal RNA". The record is from RNAcentral. Lineage: Eukaryota; Viridiplantae; Streptophyta; Magnoliopsida; Poales; Poaceae.
AUGCAUCCACAGGCACAAUCGCCACGGCGGAUUUCGUCUGCCCUGGCGAUCUCAGCGACGGCCACGACGGGAUGCAUCUCCGAACUCCCCAUCAGCUUCGUGGAAAAAUUCUCAUCACGUGAUAAGCUGCAACAGAUCGUCACGGCGGCUUCUACUGUUAAGGAUGUUGAACAUGCAUCAGCGGUGAUCCAUAAUUCAAGUGUCGACCAUCGGUGUGCCUAUGCAUCUAGCCAUGGUGUGGCCCAUCUCACUUGCCCUGCUACUUCUGUUGAAAAUACUAGUGCUGCAGAAUAUGAACCGAACUUCAGUAUGGUGGAUGGAGCUUCAGCUACAGAAUCAGGUAAAAGCUUGCAAACUCAAAUGAAUGAGCGCGAAUUUACUACGCCAAGAAAGAAAGAAAGCAUUCCCCUAUUCUGCUCGUCUUUUACGCCGAGUUGCGACGAAAAAUUUACAGGGGUCAACCAUCACUUACAGAGUGUGUUUUUUGGUGCGGCAUUCUUGUGCAAUGAGCAGACUGAGUCAUAUGUUUGGUUAUUUGAGACCUUCCUUACAGCAAUGGGAGGGGUAGCACCUAGACUCAUUAUAACUGAUGAAGCUGUUAGCAUGAAGAAUGCGAUUGAAACAGUUUUUCCGACCACAGUGCAUAGGUUAUGUAUGUGGCACAUAAUGGAAAAACUUCCGGAGAAGAUUGGACCAAUAAUUAGAGAAGAGUCUGAAUUUUGGGACAAGAUGAAUUCGUGUGUAUGGGGUUCGGAAACUCCAGCAGAGUUUGAAUCACAAUGGAAUUCUGUCAUUACGGAGUAUGGCUUGGAGGAAAAUGAGUGGCUGGUUAAAAGGUUUAGCAUUCGCGAGUCAUGGAUACCAGCUUACUUUAUGAACAUACCAUUGGCGGGUAUUCUCCGAACCACUUCAAGGUCUGAAAGUGCAAAUUCAUUUUUUAACCGUUUUAUUCAUCGUAAGCUUGCUUUGGUUGAGUUCUGGCUUAGGUUUGACAUGGCAUUAGAAUGCCAACGAGAAGAAGAGUUGAUUGCUGACAACUCAAGCAUUCAUACAACCCCGCAACUAUUGACACCAUGGGAAAUGGAGAAACAAGGUAGAGAUGUGUUUACAUAUGAGGUGUUUGAGAAAUUUCAGAAAGAGAUUGUUGCAGCAAGAGACCAUUGUUGCAUCCAAGGCAUUGCACAAGAUGGAACACUAAAAAUAGUGACAUUGAGAGGUCGAUCCCAUAGGAUUAGGGAAGUUCAGUCUGACACCAAAACCAUGAUAGCUCAUUGUUCAUGUAAGUUAUUUGAAACAAUUGGAAUCCCGUGCCGCCAUAUCAUGCAGGUGUUGAGGGCUGAAAAUCAAAAUGAACUUCCAUCUUACUACAUUAUGAAAAGAUGGAAGAAACGGUGCAAAAGGGAGAAUGUGUAUGAUGAGCAUGGGAAUUUAAUAGAAGAGAAGGCAACCGAUUCGUUGAAUGAAGCUACGAGGAAGAAGAUUUCAGUUGUACGCAACAAGUUGGAAGAUCUAAUUCAGAAGGCCAAGCACUCGGAUGAAGGCAUGGAUUUUCUAACAUCAAGUGUAUUAAAUAUUGAAGCACCUUUGGAUGAAAUGGUUCCCACAUCAGGUGUGAAGCACACUAGACAAGAUGAGAAUGAGGCUUUUAUUGGUUGCAAUAUUCCUACUGAAAUUGACAUACACCCGCCAACUGAUGUUCGCACGGUGGGGAGAUGCAAAAGAAUAAAGAGAGGAAAGGAAAUAAGUGAGGAGGAACAGAAAAAGAAGAAGAAGGAAGCCAAGGUAAAGGUUGCACGCUUGUGCAAGACAACAAAUAGUUUUUCAUGA